Molecule: ribosomal RNA, 439 nt
Filed under: Kolla ceylonica
Lineage: Eukaryota; Metazoa; Arthropoda; Insecta; Hemiptera; Cicadellidae
Description: partial large subunit ribosomal RNA
Source: RNAcentral
UUCUGCCCUAUGAAUAUUUAAAUGGCUGCAGUAUUUUGACUGUGCAAAGGUAGCAUAAUAAUUAGUCAUUUAAUUGUUGACUUGUAUGAAUGAUUAAAUGAGAUAUAAUUUUUAUUAAUUUAAUUUUUAGAAUUUUAUUUUUAGGUCAAAAAGCUUAAUUAAUUAUUAGGGACGAAAAGACCCUAUAGAACUUUAUUAAAUUUUUAAUAUUGAUAUUUUUUGUUUUUUUUCUGUUAUUAUUUUAUGUUUUUUUUGGUUGGGGUGACAAAUAAAUUUAACUUUAUUUUUUUAUAUCAUUUAUGAAUGUUUUGCUUGAUCCUAAUUUUUAGAUUAAAAGUUUUAGUUACCUUAGGGAUAACAGCGUAAUUUUAGUGGGGAGUUCAUAUUUAUACUUAAGUUUGCGACCUCGAUGUUGAAUUAAGAAAAUUGAGGGGGGUAG